GCUCAAUGGAAAUCUAAAUAGCCGCAGUUUCUGUGCUAAGGUAGCAUAAUCAUUUGUUUUUUAAUUUAAAACUAGAAUGAAAGGUUUAACAUUUAAAUUUCUAUAUUUUUAUUACCUUGCGAAAUUAUAUUAUAUGUAAAAAUACAUUUAUAAAAAAAAUAGACGACAAGACCCUAUUAAACUUUACUUAUGUUAAGCUGGGGCAGCUUUUAAAAUAUUAUUUUUAAUUUUUUCCUCAAAAAUAUUCCUUUAUAAUCGAAUAAUAAUCAAGUUACUAUAGGGAUAACAGCGUAAUUUUUAUAUAAAGCUCUUAUUUAAAUAAAAGUUUGCGACCUCGAUGUUGAAUUAAAUUCCCUUAUUUUCGCAAUAGAAAUAUAAGUAGGUCUGUUCGACCUUUAAUAAUUUACAUGAUUUGAGUUCAAACCGGUGUAAGCCAGGUUGGUUUCUAUCUUUUUAAUUAAUUUUCUAGUACGAAAGGACAAAAAAUUAUAUUUAUAAUAUUUAAUUGGCAGAAAAUUGCAUUAGAAUUAGAAUCUAAUCAC
Molecule: ribosomal RNA, 542 nt
Filed under: Argyrodes lanyuensis
Lineage: Eukaryota; Metazoa; Arthropoda; Arachnida; Araneae; Theridiidae
Description: partial 16S ribosomal RNA
Rfam family: Bacterial large subunit ribosomal RNA (bases 157-454)
Source: RNAcentral